Molecule: transfer RNA, 115 nt
Filed under: Bacillota bacterium
Lineage: Bacteria; Bacillati; Bacillota
Description: Firmicutes bacterium (gut metagenome) tRNA-OTHER
Source: RNAcentral
GUAGAAGAAUUGGAAAUCUACCUAUAUUUUGUGUUAAUAGACAAAAAUACAACUCCCCUGCUAAGGGAGUAGUACCGUAAAGGUAGCACGAGUUCGAAUCUCGUCUUCUGCGCCA